RNAcentral lists this small nuclear RNA (104 nucleotides) under Ovis aries (sheep). Lineage: Eukaryota; Metazoa; Chordata; Mammalia; Artiodactyla; Bovidae. The record is from RNAcentral.
GUACUCGCUUCAGCAGCACAUAUACUAAAAUUGGAAAGAUACAGAGAUUAGCAUGGCCCCUGCGCAAGGAUGACACGCAAAUUCGUGAAGCAUUCCAUAUUUUU